RNAcentral lists this ribosomal RNA (441 nucleotides) under uncultured bacterium. RNAcentral describes it as "partial 16S ribosomal RNA". It matches the Rfam family "Bacterial small subunit ribosomal RNA", at positions 338 to 795 of the family's 1533-position model. The record is from RNAcentral.
CCUACGGGCGGCAGCAGUGGGGAAUAUUGCACAAUGGGGGAAACCCUGAUGCAGCGACGCCGCGUGGGUGAAGGAGUAUUUCGGUAUGUAAAGCCCUAUCAGCAAGGGAGUACACUGACGGUACCUUACUAAGUAGCACCGGCUAAAUACGUGCCAGCAGCCGCGGUAAUACGGAGGGUGCAAGCGUUAUCCGGAUUUACUGGGUGUAAAGGGAGCGCAUGCGGGGCGUUGAGCCUGUUGUGAAAGCCGGCGGCUCAACCGCGGGACUGCAUUGGAAACUGGCGGGCUGGAGUGCCGGUGGGGUAGGCGGAAUUCGUAGUGUAGCGGUGAAAUGCGUAGAUAUUAGGAGGAACACCAGUGGCGAAGGCGGCCUACUGGACGGUGACUGACGCUGAGGCUCGAAAGUGUGGGGAGCAAACAGGAUUAGAUACCCGUGUAGUC